RNAcentral lists this transfer RNA (71 nucleotides) under Felis catus (domestic cat). It matches the Rfam family "tRNA". Rfam says of the family: Transfer RNA (tRNA) molecules are approximately 80 nucleotides in length. Their secondary structure includes four short double-helical elements and three loops (D, anti-codon, and T loops). Further hydrogen bonds mediate the characteristic L-shaped molecular structure. tRNAs have two regions of fundamental functional importance: the anti-codon, which is responsible for specific mRNA codon recognition, and the 3' end, to which the tRNAs corresponding amino acid is attached (by aminoacyl-tRNA synthetases). tRNAs cope with the degeneracy of the genetic code in two manners: having more than one tRNA (with a specific anti-codon) for a particular amino acid; and 'wobble' base-pairing, i.e. permitting non-standard base-pairing at the 3rd anti-codon position. The record is from Rfam by way of RNAcentral. Lineage: Eukaryota; Metazoa; Chordata; Mammalia; Carnivora; Felidae.
ACCUGGCUGGCUCAGUUGGUAGAGCAUGUGACUCUGUCUCAGGGUUGUGAGUUCUAGCCCCACGCUGGGUG